RNAcentral lists this ribosomal RNA (490 nucleotides) under uncultured Clostridiaceae bacterium. RNAcentral's name for it is "partial 16S ribosomal RNA". The record is from RNAcentral. Lineage: Bacteria; Bacillati; Bacillota; Clostridia; Eubacteriales; Clostridiaceae.
CACGUAGUUAGCCGGCGCUUUUUCUGCAGGUACCGUCACUUACGCUUCUUCCCUGCUAAAAGAGGUUUACAACCCGAAGGCCUUCAUCACUCACGCGGCGUUGCUGCAUCAGGGUUUCCCCCAUUGUGCAAUAUUCCCCACUGCUGCCUCCCGUAGGAGUCUGGGCCGUGUCUCAGUCCCAAUGUGGCCGAUCACCCUCUCAGGUCGGCUACGCAUCGUCGCCUUGGUGAGCCAUUACCUCACCAACUAGCUAAUGCGCCGCGGGUCCAUCUUAUAGCGGAUUGCUCCUUUGGUUAUCGAUUCAUGCGAAUCAACAACUUUAUGCGGUAUUAAUCUUCCUUUCGGAAGGCUAUUCCCCUCUAUAAGGCAGGUUACCCACGUGUUACUCACCCGUCGCCGCUAAUCCGUUCCCGAAGGAACUUCAUCGCUCGACUUGCAUGUGUUAGGCACGCCGCCAGCGUCGUCUCGUGCCGACGAGUCGAACUACCGU